This 466-nucleotide ribosomal RNA is filed under the name uncultured bacterium. RNAcentral's name for it is "partial 16S ribosomal RNA". It matches the Rfam family "Bacterial small subunit ribosomal RNA", at positions 28 to 505 of the family's 1533-position model. The record is from RNAcentral.
GACGAACGCUGGCGGCGUGCUUAACACAUGCAAGUCGAACGGAAAGGCCCUGCUUUUGUGGGGUGCUCGAGUGGCGAACGGGUGAGUAACACGUGAGUAACCUGCCCUUGACUUUGGGAUAACUUCAGGAAACUGGGGCUAAUACCGGAUAGGAGCUCCUGCUGCAUGGUGGGGGUUGGAAAGUUUCGGCGGUUGGGGAUGGACUCGCGGCUUAUCAGCUUGUUGGUGGGGUAGUGGCUUACCAAGGCUUUGACGGGUAGCCGGCCUGAGAGGGUGACCGGCCACAUUGGGACUGAGAUACGGCCCAGACUCCUACGGGAGGCAGCAGUGGGGAAUAGUGCACAAUGGGCGGAAGCCUGAUGCAGCAACGCCGCGUGCGGGAUGACGGCCUUCGGGUUGUAAACCGCUUUCGCCUGUGACGAAGCGUGAGUGACGGUAAUGGGUAAAGAGGCACCGGCUAACUACG